Brienomyrus brachyistius is the source of this 1269-nucleotide long non-coding RNA. RefSeq lists it as uncharacterized. The transcript is spliced from 3 exons. The record is from RefSeq and is a predicted model, not a curated record. NCBI's taxonomy places the organism in Eukaryota, Metazoa, Chordata, Actinopteri, Osteoglossiformes, Mormyridae.
AAGUCACAGUACACAGCAUCAUAUGACAAUCUUCGCUAUCAUUUAACAAACUGACAUUCCAAUAAUAAUGAUAAUGCAGGUAGGCCUAUAUACGAUCCAGAAUUGCAUAAAUAUAUUCACUAGUUCUUAGCAGUCACAGCUGAAUAACGAGAGAAUAUGAAGGCACUUUUGCAUUUGUUCAUGAGUUGUAUCGAAUCCAAAAUUUUACCAAUUUCUUUAAGAAAUCCCUGUAGAGUAGGUGGGGUUUUUUUGUAUAUCAUAGGUUAUAAUGUUUCCGAUACCGCAGGACUGAGCUGCAAACUACGUCACACCAGAAGCGGGGUGUUUCCUGUUCUUGAGUACUGACCAAUAUAGCUGCAGUCGUUUAUGUUCAUCAAAAUGUUCGUAAAUUAACGAUAACAGAUGUCGAUCAGGGCAUCGUUUAAAGCUCCAGUGCUGGAUGAUAAAGCAAGCGUACUCAACAAUGGCGACUGAAUGUUAUGUGAUGUUCACUUUUCUAUCAGGAGACGUGUUUAUUUAAGCAGAAAUGGAUUUGGUUCACCUUACUAUUCUGGACCGCAGAGCUUUCCAGCCGUCAGCAUUUGUCGGAUGAGAAGGAGUCCUACCCAGGCACAAUGUGUCAUCCGCUGCUUCCGGAAAGGACCCCGUCCCCCGCCUGUGCCUGAGCCCCUCCUGAGCCCCUGCUGAGCUGCAGCAGCCAGGCGUCUCUCGGCCCUCCGACGGCGAUCACCAUGUGAAGAAGGCUUACCGCAUGCUACGUUGUGCGGCGAACCCAGUUUCCUCUGGCAGUCCACUGAUGUGUGGUUAGGUGAAUUUGCAUUGCAUGUGAGUCUGUGUGCCCAGUGAUGCACUGGCAUCCUGUCCAGUGUGUUCUCUGCCUUCUGCCCUGUGAGCUUCCUGGCAGAGCAUAGAGUGUCCCUGUACUAAAUGAGCAGUUGGUAGAUUAAUGGAUGGAUGGAUGGAUGGAGAAUCAGGCGCUGCCAUAUUAAUUCCUGAGAUUGAUCUUUGUAUGUGUUUGGCUUAACAAAACAGAUUUUCUUGACACUUACUUGUUCCUGUCACCUGAUCGAGAAGUUGAUUCUGAUUGUGUGAUUCUGUUCCCUUACAGUCUGUUCAGCAAAGUCUGGCUGCGAUGAGGCUCCCUGAGUCCUCUCAGAAGAGACCACUUGCUCAAAAAAAGAAAAAAAAAAUGAGCGUAGGAUUAUUUAUCGCCCACAAGAGGGCACUGUGUCUCACCACAGUGCAUGUGAAAAUUGUUUUGGGUGAACA